UACGUAGGGGGCAAGCGUUGUCCGGAAUUAUUGGGCGUAAAGAGCGCGUAGGCGGUCCGAUAAGUCGGCUGUGAAAGUCAAGGGCUCAACCCUUGAAAGCCGGCCGAUACUGUCGGACUAGAGUCCGGAAGAGGCGAGUGGAAUUCCCGGUGUAGCGGUGAAAUGCGCAGAUAUCGGGAGGAACACCAGUGGCGAAGGCGGCUCACUGGACCGGUACUGACGCUGAGGCGCGAAAGCGUGGGGAGCAAACGGGG
This 254-nucleotide ribosomal RNA is filed under the name uncultured bacterium. RNAcentral describes it as "partial 16S ribosomal RNA". It matches the Rfam family "Bacterial small subunit ribosomal RNA", at positions 524 to 777 of the family's 1533-position model. The record is from RNAcentral.